GUCUUCUGCAGUGGCUGCCGGCCUGAGGAUGACGGCAACUGCAGAAGAUAA
This 51-nucleotide microRNA precursor is filed under the name Pteropus alecto (black flying fox). Its description in RNAcentral is "microRNA pal-mir-10002 precursor". Lineage: Eukaryota; Metazoa; Chordata; Mammalia; Chiroptera; Pteropodidae. The record is from miRBase by way of RNAcentral.